RNAcentral lists this ribosomal RNA (292 nucleotides) under uncultured bacterium. Its description in RNAcentral is "partial 16S ribosomal RNA". It matches the Rfam family "Bacterial small subunit ribosomal RNA", at positions 505 to 796 of the family's 1533-position model. The record is from RNAcentral.
GUGUCAGCCGCCGCGGUAAUACGUAGGUGGCGAGCGUUGUCCGGAUUUACUGGGCGUAAAGAGCGCGCAGGCGGCUGGUCAAGUCCGAUGUGAAAGCUCCCGGCUUAACUGGGAAAUUGCAUCGGAAACUGAUCGGCUGGAAGGUGGGAGAGGGUAGCGGAAUUCCCGGUGUAGUGGUGAAAUGCGUAGAUAUCGGGAGGAACACCAGUGGCGAAAGCGGCUACCUGGCCCAUUCUUGACGCUGAGGCGCGAAAGCUAGGGGAGCAAACGGGAUUAGAUACCCCCGUAGUCC